CCUUACCAAACCAUUGCAAACUUCGAAUACCGAGUAGUGCAAUCACGGGAGACACACGGCGGGUGAUAAGGUCCGUCGUGAAAAGGGAAACAGCCCAGACCGCCAGCUAAGGUCCCAAAAUUACGGCUUAGUGGUAAACGAUGUGGGAAGGCUUAGACAGCCAGGAGGUUGGCUUAGAAGCAGCCAUCCUUUGAAGAAAGCGUAAUAGCUCACUGGUCGAGUCGGCCCGCGCGGAAGAUUUAACGGGGCUCAAGCCGUGUACCGAAGCUGCGGAUGCGUGGCAACACGCGUGGUAGAGGAGCGUUCCGUAGGCCUGCGAAGGUGUGUCGUAAGGCAUGCUGGAGGUAUCGGAAGUGCGAAUGCUGACAUGAGUAGCGAUAAUGCGGGUGAAAAACCCGCACGCCGAAAGCCCAAGGUUUCCUGCGCAACGCUAAUCGGCGCAGGGUGAGUCGGCCCCUAAGGUGAUGCAGAAAUGCGUAGCCGAUGGGAAGCAGGUUAAUAUUCCUGCACCUCGUAAUACUGCGAUGGGGGGACGGAGAAGGCUAUGCCAGCCGGGUGUUGGAUGUCCCGGUUUAAGCGUGUAGGGAGUCGCUCUAGGAAAAUCCGGAGUGGCAAUCCUGAGGCGUGAUAACGAGACCCCUUGUGGGUCGAAGUGGUUGAUGCCCCGCUUCCAAGAAAAGCCCCUAAGCUUCAGGUAUUACAAGACCGUACCCGAAACCGACACAGGUGGGCAGGGAGAGAAUCCCAAGGCGCUUGAGAGAACUCGGGUGAAGGAACUAGGCAAAAUAGCACCGUAACUUCGGGAGAAGGUGUGCCCCUUGUACGUGAAAGCCCUGCGGCUGGAGCGGAAAGGGGUCGCAGUAACCAGGUGGUCGCGACUGUUUAUUAAAAACACAGCACUCUGCAAACACGAAAGUGGACGUAUAGGGUGUGACGCCUGCCCGGUGCCGGAAGGUUAAUUGAUGGGGUCAGCCGCAAGGCGAAGCUCUUGAUCGAAGCCCCGGUAAACGGCGGCCGUAACGAUAACGGUCCUAAGGUAGCGAAAUUCCUUGUCGGGUAAGUUCCGACCUGCACGAAUGGCGUAACGAUGGCCACACUGUCUCCACCCGAGACUCAGCGAAAUUGAACUCGCUGUGAAGAUGCAGCGUACCCGCGGAAAGACGGAAAGACCCCGUGAACCUUCACUAUAGCUUUACACUGAACUUUGAACAUACCUGUGUAGGAUAGGUGGGAGGCUAUGAAGCCGGGACGCUAGUCUCAGCGGAGCCAACGUUGAAAUACCACCCUGGUCUGUUCGAGGUUCUAACCUAGACCCGUUAUCCGGGUCGGGGACAUUGUAUGGUGGGUAGUUUGACUGGGGCGGUCUCCUCCCAAAGAGUAACGGAGGAGCACAAAGGUACCCUCAGCGCGGUCGAA
RNAcentral lists this ribosomal RNA (1416 nucleotides) under metagenome. RNAcentral's name for it is "bacterial LSU rRNA". It matches the Rfam family "Bacterial large subunit ribosomal RNA", at positions 934 to 2335 of the family's 2925-position model. The record is from RNAcentral.